GAUUAUUUGAUAUAACCCCUCAUAUGCUCUUUGCGCUUAGUAUAGGCCCAAAAUAUAUUUUUCUUUUUGAGAUAAAUCCAAAUUAUAUUAUAACAUAUUUUUUUUUUGCGAUAUUUCUAUAUUGCCCCUAUGUAUAUAUGGACGAUAUUAUUUUUCUAUUAUUUGACGUGUCCAUCUCUCUUCUUCUUUACGCCUCCAAUUACCUUCAUCGUCUGAUAAAAUUAUUUUCUCUGAAAUUAGCGUUUCACAUGUCGAACAUUAUCGAAACCUUCCUCGAUCGCCACACGCUUUCGAUUAUCAUCGCACUCUACGAAUGGGUCUCAACCCGGAAUCUCUCGCCGCUGUUGUUAAGGAGUUUCGCAGGGAUUCAACACCGCCUUCCUCAGACACAGUUGCACCACCUCCUUGACCAGGUGUUUGCUUAUAUGCGCAAACCAGAAAAUUUCCUCUCAAUCGCAUAUCUCGCUGCCGACAAGAUCCAUGGAAAUCUGUUCAGACGGUCCCCAACAUCCCUUCGACGAGUUUGGGUUCACAUACUUGAAGACGACCCCUGACCUUCCAGAGCACUCCAAGGUAUUUUUAUCAUUUUUUGCGGUGGGUUCGACGAUUUCUUCCCUCCAACGCACACGCCGCUGCCGGGGCUGUUAUGCCGAGAUGGCAGCACAUUUUUUAGAUAGGCCGUGGCAUCUCAACAACUAUGAGGAAAAAUUGCCUCGGCUACAAUCGAUCAAUCGCCGAAAUUAGCGGUCGUGUAAGCAGUGCUCCGAUUUUACAUAUUCCAUUUCUUUUCAGACAAAAUAUACCUGCUGCAGGCGCGAGGAAUAGAGGAGGGGGUGUCGAUGCGCUUACGGUAAAUAGUAGUUUUCGACAUUAAAUAGUGGAUUACGGUAGAGGGAUGGGGUUGACAACGCGUACAGUGAAUAGUGGAUUUCAAAUUUAGACAGUGGAUAGUGGUUUUCGUAAAUAGUGGUUUUCGAAUUCUUACGCGACAUUAAAUAGUGGAUUACGUUAGAGGGACAUUGAAUAGUGUAUUUCAAAUUCAGCGCAAUGAACAAUGGAUUACGUUAAUUUUUUUUAGAUAGUGAAUGUUCAUAAAUUUCGAUGUGUACCGUAAUAGUGGAUUUUAAACUUAGACAGUGAAUAGUGAAUUACGUUAAUUUUACAAUGGAUUACGACAAUUUAACUUAU
Erythranthe guttata (spotted monkey flower) is the source of this 1188-nucleotide non-coding RNA. NCBI's taxonomy places the organism in Eukaryota, Viridiplantae, Streptophyta, Magnoliopsida, Lamiales, Phrymaceae. The record is from RefSeq and is a predicted model, not a curated record.